ACCAGUAGCUAUAUCACCCUGCAGCUCUCAACUGGCAGCCUACUGAAGCGAAGCAGGGUUGAGCCUGGACAGUACCUGGAUGGGACACCUCCUGGCAAGCUAUGGUUGCUGCUGGAA
RNAcentral lists this ribosomal RNA (117 nucleotides) under Lepisosteus oculatus (spotted gar). The record is from RNAcentral. Lineage: Eukaryota; Metazoa; Chordata; Actinopteri; Semionotiformes; Lepisosteidae.